GAUGAAGAACGUAGCGAAAUGCGAUAAGUAAUGUGAAUUGCAGAAUUCAGUGAAUCAUCGAAUCUUUGAACGCACAUUGCGCCCGCCAGUAUUCUGGCGGGCAUGCCUGUUCGAGCGUCAUUACAACCCUCAGGCCCCCGGGCCUGGCGUUGGGGAUCGGCGGAAGCCCCCUGCGGGCACAACGCCGUCCCCCAAAUACAGUGGCGGUCCCGCCGCAGCUUCCAUUGCGUAGUAGCUAACACCUCGCAACUGGAGAGCGGCGCGGCCACGCCGUAAAACACCCAACUUCUGAAUGUUGACCUCGAAUCAGGUAGGAAUACCCGCUGAACAUAAGCAUAUCAAUAAGCGGAGGA
This 353-nucleotide unclassified non-coding RNA is filed under the name soil metagenome. Its description in RNAcentral is "partial contains 5.8S ribosomal RNA, internal transcribed spacer 2, and large subunit ribosomal RNA". The stretch from base 1 to 120 matches the Rfam family "5.8S ribosomal RNA", at positions 35 to 154 of the family's 154-position model. The record is from RNAcentral.